AGCGAACGCUGGCGGCAGGCCUAACACAUGCAAGUCGAACGAACCUUUCGGGGUUAGUGGCGGACGGGUGAGUAACACGUGGGAACGUGCCUUUAGGUUCGGAAUAACUCAGGGAAACUUGUGCUAAUACCGAAUGUGCCCUUCGGGGGAAAGAUUAAUCGCCUUUAGAGCGGCCCGCGUCUGAUUAGCUAGUUGGUUGAGGUAAUGGCUCACCAAGGCGACGAUCAGUAGCUGGUCUGAGAGGAUGAUCAGCCACAUUGGGACUGAGACACGGCCCAAACUCCUACGGGAGGCAGCAGUGGGGAAUCUUGCGCAAUGGGCGAAAGCCUGACGCAGCCAUGCCGCGUGAAUGAUGAAGGUCUUAGGAUUGUAAAAUUCUUUCACCGGGGACGAUAAUGACGGUACCCGGAGAAGAAGCCCCGGCCAACUUCGUG
RNAcentral lists this ribosomal RNA (434 nucleotides) under uncultured bacterium. Its description in RNAcentral is "partial 16S ribosomal RNA". It matches the Rfam family "Bacterial small subunit ribosomal RNA", at positions 29 to 507 of the family's 1533-position model. The record is from RNAcentral.